This 72-nucleotide transfer RNA is filed under the name Phlyctis petraea. Its description in RNAcentral is "tRNA-Ala". It matches the Rfam family "tRNA". Rfam says of the family: Transfer RNA (tRNA) molecules are approximately 80 nucleotides in length. Their secondary structure includes four short double-helical elements and three loops (D, anti-codon, and T loops). Further hydrogen bonds mediate the characteristic L-shaped molecular structure. tRNAs have two regions of fundamental functional importance: the anti-codon, which is responsible for specific mRNA codon recognition, and the 3' end, to which the tRNAs corresponding amino acid is attached (by aminoacyl-tRNA synthetases). tRNAs cope with the degeneracy of the genetic code in two manners: having more than one tRNA (with a specific anti-codon) for a particular amino acid; and 'wobble' base-pairing, i.e. permitting non-standard base-pairing at the 3rd anti-codon position. The record is from RNAcentral. Lineage: Eukaryota; Fungi; Ascomycota; Lecanoromycetes; Phlyctidaceae.
GGGGACAUAGUUUAAUUGGAAAAACAACGGUUUUGCAUAUUGUUAAUUCAGGAUCGACACCUGAUGUCUCCA